This 443-nucleotide ribosomal RNA is filed under the name uncultured Alistipes sp. RNAcentral's name for it is "bacterial SSU rRNA". It matches the Rfam family "Bacterial small subunit ribosomal RNA", at positions 338 to 778 of the family's 1533-position model. Lineage: Bacteria; Pseudomonadati; Bacteroidota; Bacteroidia; Bacteroidales; Rikenellaceae. The record is from RNAcentral.
CCUACGGGAGGCAGCAGUGAGGAAUAUUGGUCAAUGGACGCAAGUCUGAACCAGCCAUGCCGCGUGCAGGAUGACGGCUCUAUGAGUUGUAAACUGCUUUUGUACGAGGGUAAACGCAGAUACGUGUAUCUGUCUGAAAGUAUCGUACGAAUAAGGAUCGGCUAACUCCGUGCCAGCAGCCGCGGUAAUACGGAGGAUUCAAGCGUUAUCCGGAUUUAUUGGGUUUAAAGGGUGCGUAGGCGGUUUGAUAAGUUAGAGGUGAAAUUUCGGGGCUCAACCCUGAACGUGCCUCUAAUACUGUUGAGCUAGAGAGUAGUUGCGGUAGGCGGAAUGUAUGGUGUAGCGGUGAAAUGCUUAGAGAUCAUACAGAACACCGAUUGCGAAGGCAGCUUACCAAACUAUAUCUGACGUUGAGGCACGAAAGCGUGGGGAGCAAACAGGAU